Molecule: small RNA, 118 nt
Filed under: unclassified sequences
Description: LOOT RNA
Rfam family: LOOT RNA
About the family: Latescibacteria, OD1/Parcubacteria, OP11, TM7.
Source: Rfam by way of RNAcentral
AACCUAACCUGAGUAGCUACGGCAAAAGGCAUGGUUGAAAAUCCAGCGAAGAAUAUCGAUCCCGUCGGUAGGUUAUCUUCGUUGGUCAUGGUUGGAAACUUCCAUGGGACUUCGGUCC